RNAcentral lists this ribosomal RNA (446 nucleotides) under uncultured bacterium. RNAcentral's name for it is "partial 16S ribosomal RNA". It matches the Rfam family "Bacterial small subunit ribosomal RNA", at positions 354 to 796 of the family's 1533-position model. The record is from RNAcentral.
GUAAGGAAUAUUGGUCAAUGGGGGCAACCCUGAACCAGCCAUGCCGCGUGAAGGAUGAAGGCGUUAUGCGUUGUAAACUUCUUUUGUAUGGGAAGAAUGACAGGGAUUUAUCCUUGGAGAGACGGUACCAUACGAAUAAGCACCGGCUAACUCCGUGCCAGCAGCCGCGGUAAUACGGUGGGUGCAAGCGUUAUCCGGAAUCACUGGGCGUAAAGCGCGCGUAGGUGGUUUUGUAAGUUGGAGGUGAAAUCCCCGGGCUCAACCUGGGAACUGCCUCCAAAACUGCAUGACUAGAGUACGGUAGAGGGUAGUGGAAUUUCCUGUGUAGCGGUGAAAUGCGUAGAUAUAGGAAGGAACACCAGUGGCGAAGGCGACUACCUGGACUGAUACUGACACUGAGGUGCGAAAGCGUGGGGAGCAAACAGGAUUAGAUACCCGAGUAGUCC